AACAGAACCCCCAAGCGUUAUCCGGAUUCAUUGGGCGUAAAGCGUCUGUAGCCGGUUUGGCAAGUCUUGGGUUAAAUACCAAGGGCUCAACCUUUGGGAUGCUCAAGAAACUGCCAGACUAGAGGGCGUUAGGGGCUGAUGGAACUCUUGGUGGAGGGGUGAAAUCCGUUGAUAUCAAGAGGAACACCAAAAGCGAAGGCAUUCAGCUGGGGCGACCCUGACGGUGAGAGACGAAAGCGUGGGGAGCAAAAAGG
Molecule: unclassified non-coding RNA, 254 nt
Filed under: Candidatus Yanofskyibacteriota bacterium
Lineage: Bacteria; Candidatus Yanofskyibacteriota
Description: Candidatus Yanofskybacteria bacterium contains 16S-23S intergenic spacer region
Rfam family: Bacterial small subunit ribosomal RNA
Source: RNAcentral